This 495-nucleotide ribosomal RNA is filed under the name uncultured bacterium. RNAcentral's name for it is "partial 16S ribosomal RNA". It matches the Rfam family "Bacterial small subunit ribosomal RNA", at positions 28 to 507 of the family's 1533-position model. The record is from RNAcentral.
GACGAACGCUGGCGGCGUGCCUAAUACGUGCAAGUAGAACGCUGAAGGAGGAGCUUGCUUCUCUGGAUGAGUUGCGAACGGGUGAGUAACGCGUAGGUAACCUGCCUGGUAGCGGGGGAUAACUAUUGGAAACGAUAGCUAAUACCGCAUAAGAGUAGAUGUUGCAUGACAUUUACUUAAAAGGUGCAAUUGCAUCACUACCAGAUGGACCUGCGUUGUAUUAGCUAGUUGGUGAGGUAACGGCUCACCAAGGCAACGAUACAUAGCCGACCUGAGAGGGUGAUCGGCCACACUGGGACUGAGACACGGCCCAGACUCCUACGGGAGGCAGCAGUAGGGAACCUUCGGCAAUGGACGGAAGUCUGACCGAGCAACGCCGCGUGAGUGAAGAAGGUUGUCGGAUCGUAAAGCUCUGUUGUAAGAGAAGAACGAGUGUGAGGGUGGAAAGUUCACACUGUGACGGUAGCUUACCAGAAAGGGACGGCUAACUACGUG